AAGUCCAGGAGAGGAGGACACACGGGUGCAGUGAUGUUUUGCACUGUGGCUCCUUGGUAGGGUAAGGGCAUCAGGAAAUGUCAGAACAUCUGAGAGAUUGGCACAUGAGGUGAGUGACUGGGAAGAGAGAGCCUUCUCCUCACCCUAGCCUCUUAAAACUGCUCACCCUGCUUAUGAGAUUUGAUAGCUCAAACAGAGCCACCUUUCCUUUCUGCAGCACGAGCCACAGUGUAUUUCAGUAACUGCUUUUGGCUUGAACUUGAGCUGCCACUUGGAACUCACAGUUCUGAACUUCCCCCCUUGAUAACAAGGCAGGAGCUCUUGAUGACUUCAGAUGGCACCCACUGCUGAUCCAAGCUUGAAAAAAUCUCUGCUUACCUUGAGCCCUCACUAGAGGAAAGUUCAUUUCAAGGGGUCCUGCUUGACCAGCUUUUCCUACAAUUUUCAUUUGGCUGUUGAGGGAAAAAAUGUUGGCACGAAAUUAUAGCAGGUAAGGAGUGGCAAAGUCACUUUGCCAAGUUCACCUGAUGAGUGUGAAGAAGCCAAAGUGAAAAUCCUCUGGUUGACAUUUUAGGCAGCACCACUUUUAUGUUCAAAUGUACUGGGUGAAACACUUCUUUGAUUUUCAUCUGAGUUUAAAACCAUGCAAGGGCUCCUGAAUUUCAUUUCCCCCUAAUUUAUAUGGUAUUGUGCUGCUUUUAAUGACUGGUUAAAAAGAAUGUGCAUGUAGCUAUAUAUUAUACAAGUGUAAUAUUAAAUAAUAAACAUGUGAAAGGAGUUGAGAAACUGUUUUAAUUAAAUUAAAAGUAUUCUUCAGAUUUCAAAACACAAUAUCACAUCACAUUUAUUUCCUUUAUCUUUUUAACUUCUUGCUUAGGCUAUAAAGGAACUGCAACACUGAACUUUUAGAAGUGUCUGCUUCAAUGAUUGGAUCAAAGUAUUUUUUUUAUUAACAGUAUUCUGUACUGCAGAUGUUUAAAAUGUCUUGUUCACAUUUUCUUCAAUAUGCAAUUCACUGACUCAGCCUCAAAAAAAUUCCAAGUAGGAGUCAGAGGACUUUAUUUUCACUUGCAAAUAUGCAAAUAGGAAUGAGACAGGAGAAAGCUACAAGAUAAAAUCUUUUUGGGCUAGGUGAACAGAAACUUCUAGUUUAAAUCUCUGUCAAAACAAAUUUUGCAAUUAAAACAUCCGCAGAUAAUCUUCAUCUAUGUAAAAUAUUUAAAUACUUGAACUGUUAGACGCAAUUUAAAAGUGGUACUUUUGUGUACUUAGCUUGUGCUUUAUGUCAAAUUUGCACAUAGUUGAAAAUGAAUGGAAUGAAAUUAAAAUUGUACCAAAAAACUCUUCAGUGGUGCACAAAUAUGUUGUGUCAUCUACAGCAGCAGAGAAAUGUAGCAAGUUACAGAAAUGAGGAAUCAGUUUCUUGAAUGUAAUUGGGAUUGUAACUGAAUGGAUUUAAUUUUGAUUAGAAUGAUGAUAAAUAUCUAUGGUAUACAUUCUUCGAUUUUAAAUCAUUACAUCUUGUCUAGUAAUGGCUUAUUUUCUUUGGUACAUUUAAACAACCUUUGAAAGCCUUGGAAUCUCAAGCGGUGUGUUUUGCCACAGUGCCAGUGUGAAAAGCAUUUGCAAGAGGUACUGCAUUGUGUCACUUCCUAUAUUUUGUGCAAUUAGAUUUUUGUUACAUUAUGUACAACUUCCCAACCUCCCCCCACUUAUGAUUUAGAUGAGUUUGGGAAAAAAAAAUACACCAAGAUUUAUAUGAAUAAAAUAAAAUGAGAAAAAUCAAA
This is a long non-coding RNA of Passer domesticus (house sparrow), 1787 nucleotides long. RefSeq lists it as uncharacterized. Lineage: Eukaryota; Metazoa; Chordata; Aves; Passeriformes; Passeridae. The record is from RefSeq and is a predicted model, not a curated record. The transcript has 2 exons.